UCUUCAGUGAGCCAAUUAUGGCACGAAG
This 28-nucleotide small RNA is filed under the name Bombyx mori (domestic silkworm). RNAcentral's name for it is "ovarian small RNA-3489". The record is from RNAcentral. Lineage: Eukaryota; Metazoa; Arthropoda; Insecta; Lepidoptera; Bombycidae.